This 116-nucleotide small RNA is filed under the name Chelonoidis abingdonii (Abingdon island giant tortoise). RNAcentral describes it as "TUC338 (ENSCABG00000000228.1)". The record is from RNAcentral. Lineage: Eukaryota; Metazoa; Chordata; Testudines; Testudinidae.
CCUCUCUUUGUCCACAGAACAGGCACAGCAGGGCAGGAGCUGUGCAAGCUUCCCCCACACUGUCCUGCAGAGUGCCUCCUCCCUUUCAUUGAGAGGCCAUCAGUAGGACCGAGGUU